Molecule: ribosomal RNA, 468 nt
Filed under: uncultured bacterium
Lineage: Bacteria
Description: partial 16S ribosomal RNA
Rfam family: Bacterial small subunit ribosomal RNA
Source: RNAcentral
GACGGACGCUGGCGGCGUGCUUAACACAUGCAAGUCGAACGGAAAGACCCUGCUUUUGUGGGGUGCUCGAGUGGCGAACGGGUGAGUAACACGUGAGUAACCUGCCCUUGACUUUGGGAUAACUUCAGGAAACUGGGGCUAAUACCGGAUAGGAGCUCCUGCUGCAUGGUGGGGGUUGGAAAGUUUCGGCGGUUGGGGAUGGACUCGCGGCUUAUCAGCUUGUUGGUGGGGUAGUGGCUUACCAAGGCUUUGACGGGUAGCCGGCCUGAGAGGGUGACCGGCCACAUUGGGACUGAGAUACGGCCCAGACUCCUACGGGAGGCAGCAGUGGGGAAUAUUGCACAAUGGGCGGAAGCCUGAUGCAGCAACGCCGCGUGCGGGAUGACGGCCUUCGGGUUGUAAACCGCUUUCGCCUGUGACGAAGCGUGAGUGACGGUAAUGGGUAAAGAAGCACCGGCUAACUACGUG